This is an RNA transcript of Triticum aestivum (bread wheat), 1910 nucleotides long. RefSeq lists it as uncharacterized. The record is from RefSeq and is a predicted model, not a curated record. The transcript is spliced from 2 exons. Lineage: Eukaryota; Viridiplantae; Streptophyta; Magnoliopsida; Poales; Poaceae.
CCUCUCUCUCUCUCUCUCUCUCUCUCUCUCUCUCUCUCUCUCUCUCUCUCUCUCUCUCUCUCUCUCUCUCUCUCUCUCUCUCUCUCUCUCCCUAUCUCUCUUUCCUGCUCUGUUUCGUUGCCUCCAUUUCUGUACCCUCCCCUGGCUCGGUGUAACUCCAUCACCGGCAAACUUCCCAAGUACAGCAGCAGGUCAGAUCUCCCCCCACCCCUCUCUGGCCGACUGUUGGAUCUGUUCGGCUGCUGGAUUCAUGUACCUGAGUUAGCACUCGAUUUAAUAGAAAGUGCCGAAUCAUGAACCGAGCCAACUGCGAAUAUGGUAACUACCUUCCAGCACAAUAGUAGGGCAAAAAGAUGGUCGUGCUUUACAUGUAGAUUAUGCAGUUUCAACUUGUUCAUGUUUCAAUCAUCUUCCGACCAUUUUCAACACUUUACAUGUAGAUUAUGUAUGCACUUGUGUAUAUGCACUCAGAUUGAUUUAUCAUCUUCGGUGCAGGGCUCUCUGUUGGACACUUCCGGUCUUCUGUUGCAGCCACGAUUUAUUAUAUUAUAAUAAAGUUAUAAGAGUAUACCGUAGGUACUUUUUAAGAAAAUAGAAGUGAAAAACACAAUCAUUAUGUUCAUAGUUUGCAUUGGCUCAUAAUAAUCAUUACUGCCUUCACAUGUUGCAUGGUGCUAGCUCAUCAUUUUGUCUUGUCGAUGUCAUGAAUUACUCUCUGUGGUUUAAUCCGGGUACACCCUAAUCUGACCAUUUUGUUCUAAAAUACAAGUCUGAUAUUAUGUGUUUCAUGGUUCUCGAUUCAUUCAGAUGCUGAGUCUAGCUAGUAGCCUAAACGAUAAUGGGCUUGCUCUUGUUUUUCACUUUCAAGGAUACCGUGGAAUUUAACUGCAAAUGGAUUGCUUAUCAAGUACAGCAAAAAGUGACCUGGAGCGCAUGCUAUUUGAUGAAACCGAACACCCCAAGGCCCUGCCAUUAUCACUUUUGGCAGAAAUCACAAAUGGCUUCUCUGAUAAGCAGAUAAUUGGCCAAGGUGGCUUUGCAGUGGUCUACCAGAAUCAUGCGAUUUGAUUGAAGAUGGAUGCAACGAAGCCCAGUGUAGGGACUAUUGUAGGAUCAUUGGUCACACCAAGGGAUCUUGCCGGGAAGCCGAGUAUUGUUGUUGUUUGAUUGCCGCAAAGCCCAAGGUGCAUCAUCGUGAUUGAGCUUCUAUGAACAUUAUUUUAUUAGAUAUAUAGCAAAAGAGCCCUUGUAACGGGUACAAAAUAAAUAAAUUUUAUGCAGAAACAUUUAAUUAGCGCCUCCCAUCACAGUUGCAUAAGCUGAGUCAUCAACAUGCCACUUUGACCCGGAUUUGGGACAGCCCCUCCUUUUAUCUUCUGCCAUGAUUGCUCCCCAUUUUCAUAAACCAUGGUUCCGCCUCUUGGGUCAUGACGGUGGAACCUUGGCACCAUGGAUCAUGUGUUGUCUCGCCUCUGACUCAGCUCAUUAUAUGACAAGAAGUGGUAGAAAAAAAAUUAAAUAUGCUUAAGUUGCACCUAAUUCUUAAGUACCUAUCACAGGAAAAAUGAGCUUUCUAACCCUACAAGCAUGUCAAGAAGUUAAGUGCUAAAGCUCCACACUGCAGCUUGAGGACAAUACUAUUUAAAUCCAAUCUAAGCAGCUUAGUUGUCAUAUGUGCACUUGAAAAACUAUGUAACUUAUCAAAGAAACAAAAUAUACAACAUGGAAUGGGCCUUGCAUUGUUAUCAGACGCAAUGGCAGUGUGCAUAUAUAUACAUACAUCGCUAUGUGUAUGAUCAAACUAAAAUAUAUAUCUUUUGAAGCCAUGCAUUGCUACAGGGAAUAGUGCACCAAAGAUCAAACGAAAAUAACAAAAUUAAAAAGUUUUAUCAUGGAUUAAUCAAUUGAGA